GGCGCGCAAUUACCCAAUCCCGACUCGGGGAGGUAGUGACAAUAAAUACUGAUACAGGGCUCUUUUGGGUCUUGUAAUUGGAAUGAGUACAAUUUAAAUCCCUUAACGAGGAACAAUUGGAGGGCAAGUCUGGUGCCAGCAGCCGCGGUAAUUCCAGCUCCAAUAGCGUAUAUUAAAGUUGUUGUGGUUAAAAAGCUCGUAGUUGAACCUUGGGCCUGGCUGGCCGGUCCGCCUCACCGCGUGUACUGGUCCGGCCGGGCCUUUCCCUCUGUGGAACCCCAUGCCCUUCACUGGGUGUGGCGGGGAAACAGGACUUUUACUUUGAAAAAAUUAGAGUGCUCCAGGCAGGCCUAUGCUCGAAUACAUUAGCAUGGAAUAAUAAAAUAGGACGUGUGGUUCUAUUUUGUUGGUUUCUAGGACCGCCGCAAUGAUUAAUAGGGACAGUCGGGGGCAUCAGUAUUCAAUUGUCAGAGGUGAAAUUCUUGGAUUUAUUGAAGACUAACUACUGCGAAAGCAUUUGCCAAGGAUGUUUUCAUUAAUCAGGAACGAAAGUUAGGGGAUCGAAGACGAUCAGAUACCGUCGUAGUCUUAACCAUAAACUAUGCCGACUAGGGAUCGGACGAUGUUAUUAUUUGACUCGUUCGGCACCUUACGAGAAAUCAAAGU
This 666-nucleotide ribosomal RNA is filed under the name uncultured eukaryote. RNAcentral describes it as "SSU rRNA". It matches the Rfam family "Eukaryotic small subunit ribosomal RNA", at positions 431 to 1104 of the family's 1831-position model. The record is from RNAcentral.